This is a long non-coding RNA of Oryctolagus cuniculus (rabbit), 1382 nucleotides long. The record is from Ensembl. Lineage: Eukaryota; Metazoa; Chordata; Mammalia; Lagomorpha; Leporidae.
GGGAGGCAAAUUCACCGUGCAGGACACGUUAGGUUUCUGUAGUGCGGCCGGCUCUCUCUCUGUAGUCCUUCGAGACCACCUCUCCUUCUCCAUCCCCCGCCCACCCCCAUUCUGCCCUGGCCGGGGCCUCACUCUCCACCCUGGACUCCUGCCAGUCUGUCCACCUUCGGCUCUGCCCCUUCGGGAGCAUCUCCACUCGGACUUACAGACGGGCCGAGGAAGGGACCUCGGGAAAGGCCAGAGACAGCGGGGCUCGGCGUGGGCUGCACCCCCACACCUGCCGCAGGGAACCCACACAAACAACAGGCGCAUGAGAAGUCACAGAACCAACAAUCAAGCUUCAAGCAGGGUCCCCGCCCUGGCACCCCAUAUCAGCCGCAUCUGUUAGUUGGUGUUGGGAAUUCAGCUGGAGGCCACGGCGCUGCAGGUCGGCAGAGAACCUGGCUCCUUCCCGGGGCCGCAGUGCGCUCCCUGCCUGUGGAGGAGCCCAGUGCCCGGCCUGUCCAUUCAUCUCAGCAAAGGGAGAGAGAAUCUGCAGGCUAUGUGUGGCCUAAUAGUUCCCUCGGGCCUUGGGGCAAUUGCAAAGGGCCAGGCUGUGUGACCUUGGCCAGCCCUUUGCCCUCUCUGAUGAGUAAGCCUGCAGCCGAUUGCUCUGUGGUUGCGUGGUGCCUCCAAAGAACACUGACCCAGGGGUGGCCGCAGGGAGGUCCCUCCUCGGCCCCCACUGACGAGUGGCGGACUCUAAGCAGCCCGUCGGCAUCUGUGUCUCGCCACGCAGGGCUGCUGUGUUCCGCCCCUUUAGUUCCUGUUCCUCGUGGUUCCGUUUCUCAGAAGAGGGGCGCUACUGACUCUCCUCUGGGGGUGGGGUGGGGGGAGCAGUCUUCAGAGAUGCGGAGUGGGAGGGCUCUGAUCGGUGAGGGCCGGCAGGGAGACCUCUCUGCAGACUUGAUUCAGUGGCCUGAGCCUGGCUCAUUUCCCCGGACCUCCCCAGCAGGGGGCAGGGCAGGGGCAGCUUGGGGUGUGCAGAAGGGGCGGGGUGAGGCCUGUCCCCCAGGCAGCUGGGAGGCCCCGGCCCUCACUCACAAUUGGAGGAAGGCCUUCAGGAAGCGCUCGCAGCUGCUCGGACAUCUCAGAGCCAAGUCUCAGGCAGGACCACAGCGGCAGCACCCAGGGAGGAGCGGCAUGGCCCGGAGGCCGCAGCCCCAGGUGCAGCCACAGCUGGCCCUCGCGGAGCCCAGGGCACCACCGUUGGCCUUGGGCUGUCCAGGCUGUCCAGGCUCGCCCUGAGCAGCAUCUCCGGCCCUCCAUGUCCAGGGAGUCUCUGCUCGCAUCUUCCAGGACUGCGCUUCUAGAAGCUGCCGGUAGAACUGACCACAGCUCAU